UGUGGCAUACCAACAUCCAUGAUGAUGCCAGU
This 32-nucleotide non-coding RNA is filed under the name Rattus norvegicus (Norway rat). The record is from RNAcentral. Lineage: Eukaryota; Metazoa; Chordata; Mammalia; Rodentia; Muridae.